RNAcentral lists this ribosomal RNA (430 nucleotides) under uncultured bacterium. RNAcentral describes it as "bacterial SSU rRNA". It matches the Rfam family "Bacterial small subunit ribosomal RNA", at positions 354 to 796 of the family's 1533-position model. The record is from RNAcentral.
GUGGGGAAUAUUGCACAAUGGGCGAAAGCCUGAUGCAGCAACGCCGCGUGAGGGACGACGGCCUUCGGGUUGUAAACCUCUUUUAGUAGGGAAGAAGCGAAAGUGACGGUACCUGCAGAAAAAGCACCGGCUAACUACGUGCCAGCAGCCGCGGUAAUACGUAGGGUGCAAGCGUUAUCCGGAAUUAUUGGGCGUAAAGAGCUCGUAGGCGGUCUGUCGCGUCUGCUGUGAAAACUGGAGGCUCAACCGCCAGCCUGCAGUGGGUACGGGCAGACUAGAGUGCGGUAGGGGAGAUUGGAAUUCCUGGUGUAGCGGUGGAAUGCGCAGAUAUCAGGAGGAACACCGAUGGCGAAGGCAGAUCUCUGGGCCGUAACUGACGCUGAGGAGCGAAAGCGUGGGGAGCGAACAGGAUUAGAAACCCCAGUAGUCC